UCUGGAACCAUGUUUUUAGACGGUGAAAUUCUUGUUAGAACCUCUUCAGAUUCUGAAAGGGAUGGUUGCAAGCCGCAGUUACAUUGCAUAACUGACAUGGAGUUUAAAAAAGCCACACAAACUAAGUUUUCUAGUGGUUCAUUUAGUAUCUGCUUAACUUCAGCUACUGAGCUGUUAGGCAGACUGAUUAAUGCCUUGAUUAAUGUCUUUUAAUUGUCCCUUCUAUUCAACUUUUCUGUAUUUCUUAUAGGAAGGCAUUAGAUUUUCAUUAUGAAUACAUUUUAGUUAACACAACAUUUAAAGAAGUCAUGGAGCUUUCCCAUAAGCUCUCCAGUACUCCAAGAGACUGUGACCUCUGGAAGGCCCACAUGUUUUGUUCAGAGGAGAAACAGAUGUUACUGAGAGCUUCUAGCUGACAGAGAGCAUCUGCAUGUUGUGUUUUCCCAAAAAACUCCAUGUAACAAACAGCUGGAGACAAAUUCCUGCCUCGUGCUUCCAACCUUUUUUACAGCUGGUAUUUGCUCCUUGGAAUAUUUUGGUCUUCCCUGGCAUUGUUGCAAGUGACUUCAGUGACUUUAUCCCUGCUGCUUUCUCAUCUGUUCUGCCAGAAGGAAAUACUGUUUUUCAUGCUUGUAGUCACCAAACAAGUAUUUCUAUAAAUUUGUUUGUAUCUUUCCAGGCUCGCCUUCAUUUCUACAGCUAUUGAAGUGCUCAGAUGGAGAGCUGCACCCUCCCAGCAAGAAAUGACCUGAGUCUCACGAGGCAGCUCAUGCUUUUCUAUGACCUAGGUCCCUUGCUCCCUCUUGGACUUCAGCACACCUCAGGGAGCUGCAGGCCUGUCCUGUUGGGCAAUGGGGCUGUGAACUGAUGCUGGUGGGAUUCCUGCGUUGGGCAAUGGAAGCGUUAAUCCAACAGUCAGGAGGUGUGGUUGUGAAAGAGCCCAGCUGGGCCCUUAGUACACACCAACAGAAGGAUAUGGAACAACCACGUAGUUGCAUGGAGCUGCAGUUGCACCACUUCCUCCCCUCUAACAAGAUAGGGCUCAAAGGAGAUGCUGCUGGAUGUACCAAUGCAGACAGCCAGGGGCUCCCAUAGUGCAGUCCUAUGGCCAGCGACGAGUAUCUCAGUCCAUGUGAGAUGGUUGUGUGGCAUCUGUGCCCGAAGCAAGAAGAAAGUUCCAGCUCUGCCGUGGCCACAAGCAUUGGGGCAGUUGGGGUUGUUGCCAUGUCUCCCACGUUUUGUUUGUGGUCCCACCUCGCCUUGCUGAGAUGGAUGUUUCUCACAAAGCCACGAGUGCUGCCAAGUGGGCUCCUCUUUGUCACCUCUACAACCCUCUACCUUCUCUUUGUGCAAAAAUGUGCUCUUGGCAGCCUUGGGUUCACCUGCUUUGGAGGUAGGUCUGUGCCAGCUCUCCUCUUCUCCUCUUCUAGGAAAGCUUUCCUAGUGCUUGUGUUGGAGAGGAACUCGUCAGCAAGAGGUUUCAGGCUGCAUUGCACUGGGAGUCCCCCAGGUAUGUGGCUUGCUGCACGAAACUGCAUCUGUUUCUGUGUUUUAUCUAAUAGGGCUGAAUAGAGAAAGAAUUUGCUGUGUUCAUCCUUAGUUUCUUAUCAACUGCUAUAUGUUUAUGUAUGUACUGUGUAUUGAUCUUCAUCACUGUAACUUCUAUUUGCAGAGAAAUGCCAAUUGCAAUGCAGUGCUGAUCUGCAGCAGCCAUGGCUCCAUCCUUAGCAAUAUGGGCAGCCAACCAAGAGCAAAGGAAGCAGUUUAUUCAGAGGAAGGGUUGCCUUGCUCUCCUCUUGGGCUCCCUUUUUGGGAUGCAGAUACACAAGUCCCACAGCGCAGGCAUGUGGGGCCACCUUUGUCCUUGUGAUGGACCCCAUGCACCCACCAGGGAUGUGGCUGGGAAACCUGGGCUCUGUGAGUGCAGACAGUGACAAAUGAGGGGUUACUGGAAAGUAUUCAUCCAACGAAACUGCAUGCAGCAUGACUCAUCUGAGAGCAGACUAGCAAGGCAAGUCACCUCUCAUCUUAAAACACAAAGCACAACUAGGUUCACCCAAGUAUAGCUAUCCUUCUUAGGGAGCCCCAUUACUCUAUCAGCAAGGCAUGUUGUGCUGUGCUGGCUGCAGGUCACACAACCACAGCACGCUAAUCCUGGCUGCCAUAAAGCAGCUGCUCAACGUUUGCAUGUGAUUUAUGGUAACACACUGCAAACAUAUAUGUAUGCCUGUCUAUGUGAAAGAAUAAUACACAAGCACUGAUCUGAAUGGAAGAGAAAUCCUGAUUAUUACUAUAGUGGCAGCGAAUUUAUUUCUUGCAUGUCGCAAGCCACAUAUUGCCCAAAUUCCUUUGUAGUGUACAUAAAUAAUAACAAUAAAACAACAACAAACUCUAUUGAGCUUCAAAACCAACUGCAUCAUUUUUCUAAUAUGAAAAGAUCGUGGGGAGAUUUCUGUACAAUGUUUCUUUGUUCCUACUGUUACCCUGAGACUAAGAGCACAGAUAACAUUUGGACUAUAUGGAAUCAUUUAUCUUAACGUAAUACCAGUGAAUGUCUCUAAUUAUUUAAGAGCUUACAGGGUUCAAACAGUAGCUCAGAUUCCCCACGUCAGACACUUCAUUUGCUUUUUAUUCUGAAAAAUGCGAUAGCCCUUGAAAGGAAGGAAAAUGUUUUUCUGGAUAAAGAGAGGUUUGAGCUAAGACUUGGCAGGAAAUUUUCUUGAUGAGUGUCUUAUGGACUGGAUUUCACCUGCCUUAGCUCAUCCACUCAUUGUUUCAUGCACUCUUUUCAUACACAUUUUGACUCUGCUCCCCCACCAUAUGCUUUUUAUUUAAUGGUUAGGACAUUUUCUUCCUCAUUUUCUGCUUUUUACAGACCAAGCAGAACAUGAGGCAAUACCACCAGGGACUAAGAUUGGUGCCAGACUUUUCCCAGUGGACAGACCAAAUGGGAAAGUUCAGUUCUGCUCUAAAAACAUGAGAAAUCCUCUGUGAAGAUGCACAGGGGCUUAAGGCAGUGUUUGGGCCAGGCAUCCAACUGCCAUCGAUUCAUAGGGAUUGGUGAGUAGCAGUUGGGCAUCUCCAUUUCCUAGUGGUGCUGGUUCACUGCUGGUGGCGUCGCCAUUGGGCUGACUGUGAUGGGAACCAUCCUCCGCAAAACCGAUGGGUAAGACUUUAAAUGAGGCAGCAGUGUCUUUGAUGAGAUGGCUCUAUGUUUUUACAGCACGUUUGUGUUUUUGCAACCAAACCUCUCUGGGAUUUUGCUGAGUUGCUGUGUUUUCCACUUCCCCCAUUUGCGGUGCGUUGCUGUGGGAGCUGGGCUGAAGCUGGCCUGGCACCAGGCAGAACAUCAGCCCACGGCUCCUGCAGUGCAAGGGGUGAGUAACAUCUGGCUUUGUGCUUUACCUUGCAGAUCUCUGGUGCUUGUUCCCAGCCUGCACUCAGGAGCGUUGCUUCCAGAGGUGUUUGCAAACCUUCCUUGGUGCUUUGGGUGCCUGGAAUGUGCACCUCACCCCCAUUACAGAGGCUGCAACCCAGGUUGGAUCCCACUCAGGAAACAGUAGCCACUGCUGGUAAAUGGGGAGCAACGCAUCAUUAGGCUCUUGUCAAUGACAGACGUGUUUGCAGCUCUGAACAUCUGGAAGGGAUUUAGCAGAAAGGUCUGGUUCCUGUGGCACCGUUCAUCUCCCCGCCUGAUGGAUUCAAAGGGGAUGAAGUAGAAGGAAGAAAGUAAACUGAAGAUUCUCAGGAGGUGUUUGGCUGCAGGCCAGCAGGCUGCUGGCUUUGUGGUGCUCAGAGGUUGCUCAGUCUUAUAGAAAGCUGCAGAGGAACAGGCUGGUUCUAUAGAGAUGUGACCUGACUUUCCAACCUGCAUGGUGGCUUGGCUGUCGGGUUAUUCUGGCAGAGAUUUCUCCCUGUCUGGGAUCUGGGAAGCCUUGCAACUGAUAGUGCAGCAUUCAUGGCUGAGACGUGUUGUGCUCAUGCCCUUGUUUUGGUCCUGCUGGAGGUGACCUUCCUAAGAACCAUGCUGCUGUACAGCAUGCUGAUGAGCCGCAUGUUUUGACAUCCCAUAAGAUUUGGUAUGUUAUCCAAUGCAUGACAUGCCUUCUUUACAUAAGGGCAAGGCUGAAGGAGAAUAGCUGGUCUGUGCGUUUAACUUGCUGUUGGAAUAUGUCACUGUGUGUCUUGUGUUUUUUGAGAUAUUUUCUUUUAGUGCCCUGUGGGCUAAAAUAAUAAGGGUCUGUCCAGGAGUCAGAAGUCAGCCUGUUGGCUCAGACCUUGGUAGGAUUGAGAUAUGAUUCCUAAUUUGGGAAAUUCCUGCUCCAAGAAGUCAUAGGAGGAGAAUGGCUGAGGAGUUCCCUGAUUCUCAUUUUAAAGGGUAAAUCACUGAGAUCCAGAGUAAGGCUAAUGAGCUGACCAAAGACACAACCACCUAUGAAAGUAUUCCCAGCCAUAAUAUGCUUCGGAUGACCCUGAACCAAUUUUAAUUCAUUUCAUUUUUUCACUUUGGAGAAUGUUUGUUUGUUUAAAAGAACUUUCAGGGAGUUGGACAACUGGAAUUGGUGAUGAGCCUUGAAAAUUCAGAGCAUCAGUGUGGGUGCUGGAAACAUACAUCUUGCAUCCUGACAGCUUACUGUGCCCCAGAGCAACACUUCAUGCUUCGUGUUCUUGGGUUCUUUGCUGUCAGCUCUCCUACCUUCCUGACCUGGCCUCUAGAAAAGAGGAAAAAAAAAAGAGUACAGUUUGGGAUUUGCGAUUAAACAACCAUGACCUCAUCCUGGGAGUUUCACAUUGCUGUGAGGAUUAGGACCAUAUGACUGGAAAGGCUGAUAAAUAUUUGUUCCUGCUCAUGGACGAAACGUCUCUCCCGCAGCAGCUGGUGGAGGGAGCUCUGCUUCCCACUGCGAUGGGGCUCCGCAGCAGCUCCCUGUGCUCCUCCUCGUGUCAAUUAACCCAUCAUCCCUCCCUUGAAUUGAAAGGAGAAAGCAAAUGUGUCUGCUUGCCAGCUUGAGAGUCAGAGUGAUGAGUACAGACGGUUGCCAAAGCGUUGUGAAAUGCAGACGUAGAAGAAUUAAAAACUAAUAAUGAAGAAAUGUGUCUGUCUUGGUUGUGCUGCAACUGCCAGACUAAUCCUGCUGGCAUCCUCCCAGGUUAGAGCAUCACUUAUUCACAUUCUUAGUAGCUGGCAAUGCCGCUCUGUAGGAGCACUGGUGGAAACAGCUUUGGUUUUAAGCCUCACUUUAGUUGUAGUGAGGUUUCGCUUCAUUUGAAUUCCAGGUUUUUUUAGCACUUGGGGCUAAUUCUAAUAUAAAGUCCUAUUGUAUCGCAUGAAGAAAUAGCUUCUGUGACUCCUCCUGUCAGUGCCAGAAGCUCAGUUUCUGUUUACCUUGCACCACUGAAACCAGGAGGUCGCUUUGCCUGAGCAAGAGGGGCUGGAUUUGGCCCAAACCAUCUUGCUUUACAACAUGCUGUGUAUCCCAUAUAAAUCUAUGUCUCCACUUUCCCCCAGCUAUGGCUAUACCCAGUUCCUGGUGCACGCUCAGACAUUCCCUGCCAGACCUAUUCCCACACCUAUGUCUCAUGUAAAAAGUCACAAACCCAAGUGCAUGUGGAUGUCAGCGAUGUGCGCACGCCUUGCUAGAUACAGCUGAGUGUGCCUGCCCCAAUGCCUGACUGAAACCAAUGGAAAACACCACUCCUUGCAUUCUACAAGAAGGAAACUACAUAGACCUGGCUGGUUAUAGAAGUGGUUUAUCCAGGAACAUGUCUGUAUGUUGAACUUGCAUAAUGAAGGCAAUUAUUUUCCAUUCAGCCCUCCGAACGCAUUGCAGCAUUCGUUCUCAGCAGCGGUAAGGAAAUGCGUCCAAACUGUUCCAGCUCUCCUGGCCCUUUAUCAAGGAGCCUUUACAAGCUGGGUAGACUGCAUUACUAAAUCAUUCCCUCUCAGAAACGAUUACGAGCCUUGUCAUGUUAUCUACUCGACUGUAACUACAAAACCACUGUGACUAAAUGAAGCCAUAUGUCCGCCAUGAUUCCUUGCAGUGAUACCUACUUGCAUGUGUUUCUGUCUGUAUGCGUAUGUAUACGGGUGGCAGUGCCCCAGAACCACGUUAGCGGGUGAAGCCCUGCUUGGUGUGCAGUCACCCAAAGCAGAUAGUGGGGAAUGGGAUGUCUGUGUCUUGCCAGUGUCAUCUCCCCAUUCCAUGACUGGCUUGGUGCAAGUUCCUCUAUGCUGUUUUUGUUUCGCAUUCUUUCUAUUUCUCCUAGAUGCAGCAUCUUUUCCUGCUGUUGAAGAUGUGACUCAAGUGAGACACUGCGACCUCUGCCUUCUGCCCUGAGAAACACUCUGCUGUUCUCCCAGUGCUGCGCUUGGCUCCUGAACACUGUAAUUGUAAAUAUUUUUAGUGUGCUCCCAACUGUGAGAGCCCACAGGGCUUGUAUAAACCCUUGGGUUUACUACAGAAAUAUGGGUACUAUAUUGCAAAGUAUACAGCGGGGAACUUGCACUCUCUUGCUCUAAUGUUUUUUGUUCCUGUGUUUCAUUACCACCACAUGAAACGUACAAGGGCAUGAUGGCACAGACAGUGUCUGCUUUCUCACACUGAGUGCAUCAUGUUGUUCUGAUGGAGAGGUGGAGGAGAAAGCAGCUGCUUCAACCUUGCUGGAGAAAUGAUGGUGCUGAGCUGUGCAGGGCUGUUCUGAGGUUGGUCUUCAAGUCUGGUUGAAGACCAGUCUCUCUGUCAUGGUUUCAAUGAGCCGAGUUUCAUCCGAAGUCUGUAGGAUGACAGGAGCAGCCUCCUGGCUAUGAGUGUCCCAUUACAAGAUGGUUUAUUGACAUAACGUAUUUGCAGUAUCUUCUUGGCAGGGAGUGAUUUCAUCUGCCUGCUGUAUUUAACAGAAAUUAACUGCUACUCCCUCCCAACCCCCUGCUUUUUUUUUUUUUCUUUUUUUUUUUUUAAGGAAGUUUCAUUAUAUCAUAAUAAAUUAAAUGAAUUCAGAUUUCAAAGCUUAGCAUCUCAAAAUAACAUUCUGCUGUAAUUUGGCUCAGGAUGCUCCAACGUUUGCUCUCUUCCUGCAUUACCAAGUGGCCAACAGCCAAGCCCAGCAGAUUACAGCGCUGACAUCGAGCGUCUAUCAGGCCUUAAAUCAGUCGAAAUGGGCCAGAAACAACUUGCUUUUAUCCAUUUUAAGGGCUGUAGGCUGCUCUUCAAGUGGUUUGCUCUCCAGUGAUGGCACCGACUUUUCCAUGGCUUAUGCAGCAACGCAUGGAAACGAAUACUCCCCAGAACAAUACGUCAGACCAGGAUUUCUUGGGGUUUUUCUACUUCAUUGCUGGCUUGCUGAAAACAAGAAGAUAAAUUGCGGGAUAAGGAACAAAAUGAGAACAUGUGAGAGCUAAAGAAGUGCCUUGUGGGAGCUGUUUUCUAUCUCCUUUUUCUUUUUCGCAUACGGACGAUCUGACUAAGUGAUGCUGAAUUAUUCCUUGAAAGUUGGAUUGCUGCUCCUUGUGACUUCCUGCCCUAUAAUUUUACUGUAUCGUAUAUCUACAGCAUGGGCAGGGGGAAAUAGAAAACAGAUGGGGGGAUAUCAGCUCGGCCCCACAGCACUGCUCAGUAGUUUCAGUGGGUUUGUUUUGUGUCUGUGCCCAUUGGUGUACGCAGAAGAAACGGAGCAAAGCAGAGACCUUCUGAAACAGAUUUAUCCCAAAGCAUUUAAUGUGGGAAGACAGUUACAAUCUUACACAGUGAGGUUUCUUUGCUGAGGCUUUGGAGCAUGUCUUGCCAUCCCCUCUGUCAGCGGAGCAGCUGUUACCCUGAAAUGCAUCCCGGUGUCUGUUUGUGUAAGUGCAAUUUUCCACGUGAUUGAUCUCAGAGUAUUUGUAUGAGUGUGCACAGAGCCCGCUGCACAUGGAUUUCAUUUCAGCAUCUGUCUGAACGCAGAGGUUAAAGCGAGUGCAAGGCAAAGCGCUGGCCAUUCACAAAUAGGUUGGUCACAGUCUGAUGGCCCAGUGUAUUGGAAUAUUCCUUUGAAACAGGCAAACCGCUCUCAAAGUGAUUCACGGGAACUAAUUGAAGGCUGGGUCAGUACAGAGAGUCCUGCUGGCAUGGGGUAAUGAAUGGGGAUGCACUGAAGAGGAACCAGGAGGCAGAGUGGGACCGGGAGAGAGGGACGGGGAGGAGGAAAGCUGCAGCAGGAGAUAAAAACAUCAGAUCUAGAUGAGGAAGGUUGGGAUUAAGCAAUACUGACAGGGUUUAAAAUCUCACCUGUUUUGUCUCCAUAACGUAUGAAGUCUCUAUUCCUCAUCUUUGAGGCUGGAGACAAGAGCCCUUGCAGGUAGGACUUUGAGAUCCAUCUGUUUGAUGGAGGCAGCAUUGAGGAGAGGAAACCUGACACUGGGGGAAGGUUUUGUGUAUUUUAUCCCAGGGGAUUAAUGCUGUUUACGCUAAUCAGAUCUAUUUACUGCAGUGGGAAAAGUAUUUUUGUAAAUAAAAAAUGUUU
Molecule: non-coding RNA, 8499 nt
Organism: Coturnix japonica (Japanese quail)
Lineage: Eukaryota; Metazoa; Chordata; Aves; Galliformes; Phasianidae
Source: RefSeq, a predicted model, not a curated record